This 329-nucleotide ribosomal RNA is filed under the name uncultured eukaryote. Its description in RNAcentral is "partial 18S ribosomal RNA". It matches the Rfam family "Eukaryotic small subunit ribosomal RNA", at positions 1470 to 1796 of the family's 1831-position model. The record is from RNAcentral.
CCCUUAGAUGUUCUGGGCCGCACGCGCGCUACACUGACGAUGGCAACGAGUUUUUCCUUCGCCGAAAGGUGUGGGUAAUCUUUUGAAACAUCGUCGUGCUGGGGAUAGAUCAUUGCAAUUUUUGAUCUUGAACGAGGAAUUCCUAGUAAGCGCGAGUCAUCAGCUCGCGUUGAUUACGCCCCUGCCCUUUGUACACACCGCCCGUCGCUACUACCGAUUGAAUGGUUUAGUGAGGACUCCUGAUUGGCGCCGCCGCCCCGGCAACGGAGCAGCGGACUGCCGAAAAGUUGUUCAAACUUGAUCAUUUAGAGGAAGUAAAAGUCGUAACA